This is a non-coding RNA of Schistosoma margrebowiei, 48 nucleotides long. The record is from Rfam. NCBI's taxonomy places the organism in Eukaryota, Metazoa, Platyhelminthes, Trematoda, Strigeidida, Schistosomatidae.
AUCCGGCUGAAGAGUCUCAAAUAGAACGAAACGCGCGUCAAACUGGAU